RNAcentral lists this ribosomal RNA (465 nucleotides) under Vreelandella stevensii. Its description in RNAcentral is "partial 16S ribosomal RNA". It matches the Rfam family "Bacterial small subunit ribosomal RNA", at positions 338 to 795 of the family's 1533-position model. Lineage: Bacteria; Pseudomonadati; Pseudomonadota; Gammaproteobacteria; Oceanospirillales; Halomonadaceae. The record is from RNAcentral.
CCUACGGGGGGCUGCAGUGGGGAAUAUUGGACAAUGGGGGGAACCCUGAUCCAGCCAUGCCGCGUGUGUGAAGAAGGCCCUCGGGUGGUAAAGCACUGUCAGUGAGGAAGAACGCCUGGUGGUUAAUACCCAUCAGGAAAGACAUCACUCACAGAAGAAGCACCGGCUAACUCCGUGCCAGCAGCCGCGGUAAUACGGAGGGUGCGAGCGUUAAUCGGAAUUACUGGGCGUAAAGCGCGCGUAGGUGGCUUGAUAAGCCGGUUGUGAAAGCCCCGGGCUCAACCUGGGAACGGCAUCCGGAACUGUCAAGCUAGAGUGCAGGAGAGGAAGGUAGAAUUCCCGGUGUAGCGGUGAAAUGCGUAGAGAUCGGGAGGAAUACCAGUGGAGAAGGCGGCCUUCUGGACUGACACUGACACUGAGGUGCGAAAGCGUGGGUAGCAAACAGGAUUAGAUACCCCUGUAGUC